Molecule: long non-coding RNA, 756 nt
Organism: Camelus dromedarius (Arabian camel)
Lineage: Eukaryota; Metazoa; Chordata; Mammalia; Artiodactyla; Camelidae
Exons: 3
Source: RefSeq, a predicted model, not a curated record
CCUCUAAGACUGCAUCUCCGCCCUCAGCAUCCAGGGAAACCAGCAGCAGAAGAGCAACCUGGGGAAGAGAACUGUGUCACACCCUGGUGCAGGGUGCAGCAGCCCCACCCAGAGCUCCAGACCCCUGUGUCCAAUGGCCUGGUGAUUGCCUUUUCCUGAAUAUCCCGCAGGAGAGGGGGCCAAGGGUUGCUACGCACCUGGAGAUGGAGUUCUCUGACGCAAUGUCCUUUGGAGUCCGGACUGUUGUGAAGGAAUCGUACAGCCUGAUGGCUGGGACACCCGGCAGCCAUCUUGGGCAGAAGCUCAUGCCAAGGAUGACAUGAAAGAUGGGACCGCGUCCCUGAUGACUGUGAAGCUGCCACACCAGUGCUGGUCUGCCAACCUCUCUACUUGUUGCAUAUGAGAGAAAAAUAAACCUUAUGGUAGACUGUACUAUUGUUGAAAACAUUUGCUACCCUGCCCCACACUAAGAUACACAUUUUCCACUCCACUGACCUGAGGCCUGCCAUAGACUUGCUUUGGCCAGAGCAGUAAAAGUGACAUGGGCCACUUCUAAACAUACAGUUUACCAAGAGCCAUGGGGUGAUUCUCCCUAUUUUCUCUUCCUAUCCACCCCUCCACAUACACACACAAAAAGACCAGCAAUGUUCUAUGUAGGAGCAGCUUCUUCAGCCAGAGUCCCCAAUUAAGAUACAGCAGAGCAGGGCCACACAUGGCCUGCAAAGGAUACUAGUGUGAGUGAGAAAUAAAUCUCUG